UGCACGGACCACACAGCUGUCAUCUUGAGUGAGGGGUUUUGCACCAGCUACCGAUAUGGAUUUAGGAACAGCCAGGGGUGUCCCCCUCACCCACCCCAGCGGCUCCAGACAGAAGCACCAGCACGGCCCUGGCGAGGGAGAGCGCGAGACUGUGGAUGAAAGGAGAGGUCCCCGCAGCCUCUGUGCAUCACACGGCAGCUCCAAGCCAAAAGGAGGGCAGUGAACUCAGUGCAGCUGCAAACCCGGAGAGCUGGAGAGGUCACCCCACAUGAAAAGGAAACCGAGACCAACCUUUGUACGGGAGCUCGCCUGGAAACACGGAGAACACACACACCGCCAGGGAAGAAAGGCAGCCGCCAGUCCGACAGCACAGGACUCCACUCAGAACUCGGUCUCAAAGAGCAGACAUUCGGAGAGAGCUGUACAGUGAGACCUCUUAGAACUGGCCCUUCUUUUCCUGCAGCUGAACAAAAGAAAGGGGGUCAAGGUUACACACUCAGGUGCCUUUGAAGUCCAGCUGUCUCCCAGGCCUCCCGCCUCUCCACAAACUCACAGCUGAAGGUACAAGCAAAGCACUCUCUGCACCUUCUCCCGUGGUCUCCCCCAGACUCAGCUGGUACCCACGGCAUUCCCGCCAGGACUUGCCCUAACCCUGCAACCGGCUCAGCCCCAAUAACAUCAGAGUCCUCCAGCAAGUCACUGAAUGCCUCUGGCCCUCUCCUUCCUCCCCUCUAUGAGAGUUCAGUCAGUUCAGUCGCUCAGUCGUGUCUGACUCUUUGCAACCCCAU
This 788-nucleotide long non-coding RNA is filed under the name Capra hircus (goat). RNAcentral's name for it is "lncRNA (ENSCHIG00010002964.1)". Lineage: Eukaryota; Metazoa; Chordata; Mammalia; Artiodactyla; Bovidae. The record is from RNAcentral.